GAUGAACGCUGGCGGCGUGCUUAAUACAUGCAAGUCGAACGGGAUCCAAGGGGUGUUUGCACUCUUUGGUGAGAGUGGCGAACGGGUGAGUAACAUGUGAGUAACCUGUCCUUUUCUUUGGGAUAAUCAUGCGAAAGGGUGUUUAAUACCUUAUGUUCUGUCUGCCUCGCAUGGGGUGGGUGGGAAAGGCUUUGGCCGGAUUUGGGUGGGCUUGCGGUGGAUCAGCGCGUUGGUGGGGUGAUGGGUGACCAAGGCUUUGACGGGUAUCUGACGGGAGAGGGGGAUGGGCGGCACGGGGACUGAGACGGGGUCGAGACUCCUACGGGAGGCAGGAGGAGGGAAGCGGGGGGAAUGGGCGCAAGACGGGCGGAGCAAUGCCGCGUGAGUGAUGAAGGGGGGCGGAUCGUAUAAGUCUUUUAAUAGUGAUGUACAAAUGAGUAAGCAACUAUUCGCGUUUUGAGGGUAGAGGGUCAGAAAGCCACGGCUAACUACGGG
Molecule: ribosomal RNA, 495 nt
Filed under: uncultured bacterium
Lineage: Bacteria
Description: partial 16S ribosomal RNA
Rfam family: Bacterial small subunit ribosomal RNA
Source: RNAcentral